This 494-nucleotide ribosomal RNA is filed under the name uncultured bacterium. RNAcentral describes it as "partial 16S ribosomal RNA". It matches the Rfam family "Bacterial small subunit ribosomal RNA", at positions 28 to 507 of the family's 1533-position model. The record is from RNAcentral.
GACGAACGCUGGCGGCGUGCUUAACACAUGCAAGUCGAACGGUGAAGCGCCUUCCUUUUUGGUGGGUGUGGAUGAGUGGCGAACGGGUGAGUAACACGUGAGUAACCUGCCCCCUUUUUCGGGAUAACCGCAUGAAAGUGUGGCUAUUACGGGAUAUCCUGGUUCUGUCGCAUGAUGGGUCUGGGAAAGAUAUUGUUUCGGUGGGGGUGGGGUUCGCGGCCUAUCAGCUUGUUGGUGGGGUGAUGGCCUACCAAGGCGGUGACGGGUAGCCGGCCUGAGAGGGUGGACGGUCACACUGGGACUGAGACACGGCCCAGACUCCUACGGGAGGCAGCAGUGGGGAAUAUUGCACAAUGGGCGCAAGCCUGAUGCAGCGACGCCGCGUGAGGGAUGGAGGCCUUCGGGUUGUGAACCUCUUUCGCCAGUGAAGCAGGCCUGCCUCGUUUGUGGGUGGGUUGACGGUAGCUGGAUAAGAAGCGCCGGCUAACUACGUG